Molecule: long non-coding RNA, 429 nt
Organism: Homo sapiens (human)
Lineage: Eukaryota; Metazoa; Chordata; Mammalia; Primates; Hominidae
Source: Ensembl
AUACAAAUGACCUUUGGAUUUCUCUAUCACGGCGCUUAUCCUCCUAUUAAGGAUCAGAAAGUUAAACUUUACGGACCACGAAAGAACACAACAGCCGUCUUGCCCAUGCUCUGCUGAGUAUGAGGGGAACGCAGCCAGAAACGGGGAUGGCGUUAAGUUUGGUUCAUUAAAAACAGGACGGAGUAUAUCUGAAAUGGAUUUAGACGCACUUGUGCUUUUACUUGGCGUCACCCCAGGCUUCGGGACCGUUUCCCCAACAUCAUGCAAAGAUGGUUCUCGGUACAUGGCAACUAGUGAUGGGAAGAAAGGAGGAGGAAAAGCAAACAUUGCUUGGUUAGGUGUGAGAAUGGUCCAUCCAUACCUGCAUAGACCACUGCAGUUUGCCCAUUUCUGUUUUCCCUGAAGUAAAGCAAUUCCAUUGAGACAGAA